Molecule: microRNA precursor, 122 nt
Filed under: Chlorocebus sabaeus (green monkey)
Lineage: Eukaryota; Metazoa; Chordata; Mammalia; Primates; Cercopithecidae
Description: miRNA (ENSCSAG00000023515.1)
Source: RNAcentral
CAUGGGGAGUCUUAUUAAAAUCUAGGUCUAAUUCAGUGGGUCUGGAGUGAGGCCAGAGAUUCUGCAUUUAUAACAAGCUCCCAGGUGAUGGUGAUAUUUCUGAUUCAGAGGUUUAUAGGAUA